AACGAACGCUGGCGGCAGGCUUAACACAUGCAAGUCGAACGCCCCGCAAGGGGAGUGGCCGACGGGUGAGUAACGCGUGGGAACAUACCCUUUUCUACGGAAUAGCUCUGGGAAACUGGAAUUAAUACCGUAUACGCCCUACGGGGGAAAGAUUUAUCGGGGAAGGAUUGGCCCGCGUUGGAUUAGCUAGUUGGUGGGGUAAAGGCCUACCAAGGCGACGAUCCAUAGCUGGUCUGAGAGGAUGAUCAGCCACAUUGGGACUGAGACACGGCCCAAACUCCUACGGGAGGCAGCAGUGGGGAAUAUUGGACAAUGGGCGCAAGCGUGAUCCAGCCAUGCCGCGUGAGUGAUGAAGGCCUUAGGGUUGUAAAGCUCUUUCACCGAUGAAGAUAAUGACGGUAGUCGGAGAAGAAGCCCCGGCUAACUUCGUG
RNAcentral lists this ribosomal RNA (431 nucleotides) under uncultured bacterium. RNAcentral describes it as "partial 16S ribosomal RNA". It matches the Rfam family "Bacterial small subunit ribosomal RNA", at positions 29 to 507 of the family's 1533-position model. The record is from RNAcentral.